Molecule: small nuclear RNA, 104 nt
Filed under: Octopus vulgaris (common octopus)
Lineage: Eukaryota; Metazoa; Mollusca; Cephalopoda; Octopoda; Octopodidae
Also listed under: 1 other name
Source: RNAcentral
AUAUAUAUAUAUAUAUAUAUACUAAAAUUGGAACGAUACAGAGAAGAUUAGCAUGGCCCCUGCACAAGGAUGACACGCAAAUUCGUGAAGCGUUCCAUAUUUUU